ACUUUGAAAAGGACGCUUGUUCCUUCGUGAUGGGCGAAUACGAUGCUUGUUUUGAAUGGCCGGUCGGUUCGAGGAAUGAUCGGUUCACGAGCUAGCAUCACGAACCGAGUCACGUUACUCGAGUCGUCCUGGAUACCUUCCGCUAAGAUCUGGAGACCGUAGAGGUCCGCGGCGCGUGCGGAUGCAAUCGCGGCUGUAUCGCGGAGGUUGUUUGCAGCUAUGUAUUCGGCGGCUCCGGCGGUAUCAUCGACGGCUUCGCGAGCUACGUUUAGGCCGAGCUUUGUGAGAGUGAGUUCGC
Molecule: long non-coding RNA, 298 nt
Filed under: Nicotiana tabacum (common tobacco)
Lineage: Eukaryota; Viridiplantae; Streptophyta; Magnoliopsida; Solanales; Solanaceae
Description: long non-coding RNA (NTAB_LNC017339)
Source: RNAcentral